GACGAACGCUGGCGGCGUGCUUAACACAUGCAAGUCGAACGGAAAGGCCCUGCUUUUGUGGGGUGCUCGAGUGGCGAACGGGUGAGUAACACGUGAGUAACCUGCCCUUGACUUUGGGAUAACUUCAGGAAACUGGGGCUAAUACCGGAUAGGAGCUCCUGCUGCAUGGUGGGGGUUGGAAAGUUUCGGCGGUUGGGGAUGGACUCGCGGCUUAUCAGCUUGUUGGUGGGGUAGUGGCUUACCAAGGCUUUGACGGGUAGCCGGCCUGAGAGGGUGACCGGCCACCUUGGGACUGAGAUACGGCCCAGUCUCCUACGGUAGGCAGCAGUGGGGAAUAUUGCACAAUGGGCGGAAGCCUGAUGCAGCAACGCCGCGUGCGGGAUGCCGGCCUUCGGGUUGUAAACCGCUUUCGCCUGUGACGAAGCGUGAGUGACGGUAAUGGGUAAAGAAGCACCGGCUAACUACGUG
This 468-nucleotide ribosomal RNA is filed under the name uncultured bacterium. RNAcentral's name for it is "partial 16S ribosomal RNA". It matches the Rfam family "Bacterial small subunit ribosomal RNA", at positions 28 to 507 of the family's 1533-position model. The record is from RNAcentral.